UGACCGCGCAGAGGGAGAGACCGGUCCUGCACCGGCGCCGAAGGAGCAACCGCCCCGGAAACUCUCAGGCAAAAGGACCCUGCGCGGUUA
Molecule: non-coding RNA, 90 nt
Organism: Acetobacter orleanensis JCM 7639
Lineage: Bacteria; Pseudomonadati; Pseudomonadota; Alphaproteobacteria; Acetobacterales; Acetobacteraceae
Source: Rfam